This 403-nucleotide ribosomal RNA is filed under the name uncultured bacterium. RNAcentral's name for it is "bacterial SSU rRNA". It matches the Rfam family "Bacterial small subunit ribosomal RNA", at positions 355 to 775 of the family's 1533-position model. The record is from RNAcentral.
CAAGGAAUUUUGGGCAAUGGGGGCAACCCUGACCCAGCGACGCCGCGUGAGCGAAGAAGGCCUUCGGGUCGUAAAGCUCUGUCUUUGGGGACGAAUGGGACGGUACCCAAAGAGGAAGCCCCGGCUAACUACGUGCCAGCAGCCGCGGUAAUACGCAGGGGGCGAGCGUUGUCCGGAAUCAUUGGGCGUAAAGGGCGUGUAGGCGGCUUUGAAAGUCGGGUGUGAAAAACCGAGGCUCAACCUUGGGAUUGCAUCCGAAACUUCAGGGCUUGAGGUCAGAAGAGGAGAGCGGAAUUCCCGGUGUAGCGGUGAAGUGCGUAGAUAUCGGGAGGAACACCAGUGGCGAAGGCGGCUCUCUGGUCUGCACCUGACGCUGAGACGCGAAAGCUAGGGGAGCAAACGG